This 878-nucleotide ribosomal RNA is filed under the name uncultured organism. RNAcentral describes it as "bacterial SSU rRNA". It matches the Rfam family "Bacterial small subunit ribosomal RNA", at positions 613 to 1489 of the family's 1533-position model. The record is from RNAcentral.
CCGAGAUCUUGCGUCUAAUACUGAUAGGCUAGAGUCUCUGAGAGGAAGUCGGAAUUCCUGCUGUAGGGGUGAAAUCUAUAGAUAUCAGGAAGAACACCGGUUGCGAAGGCGGCCUUCUGGCAGAGGACUGACGCUGAGGUACGAAAGUUAGGGUAGCAAACAGGAUUAGAGACCCUGGUAGUCCUAACCGUAAACGUUGUGUACUAGGUGGUUGAAGUAUUGAUCCUUUGACUGCCGCAGCAAACGCAUUAAGUAUACCGCCUGGGGAGUAUGCCGGCAACGGUGAAACUCAAAGGAAUUGACGGGGCCCCGCACAAGCAGUGGAGCAUGCUGCUUAAUUCGAUGAUACGCGAGUAACCUUACCAGGUCUUGACAUAUACCUGUCUGGUGUAGAAAUACAUCAUUGCUUCGGCACGGGUAUACAGGUGCUGCAUGGUUGUCGUCAGCUCGUGCCGUGAGGUGUUGGGUUAAGUCCCGCAACGAGCGCAACCCUUAUUCUUUGUUGCUAACAGGUUAAGCUGAGCACUCUAAGGAGACUGCCGGUGACAAACCGGAGGAAGGUGGGGACGACGUCAAAUCAUCACGGCCCUUAUGACCUGGGCUGCAAACGUGCUACAAUGGGUGGUACAAAGAGUUGCGAGACCGCGAGGUGGAGCUAAUCUCAAAAAACUAUCCUCAGUUCGGAUUGGAGUCUGAAACCCGACUCUAUGAAGUUGGAAUUGCUAGUAAUCGCACAUCAUCAUGGUGCGGUGAAUACGUUCCCGGGGCUUGUACACACCGCCCGUCACAUCACCCGAGUUGAUAUACCCGAAGUACCUGAGCUAACGGUUUACCGGGGCAAGGUCCUAAGGUAUGCNUGGCAAGGGGGAUGAAGUCGU